UACGAAGGGGGCUAGCGUUGCUCGGAAUUACUGGGCGUAAAGGGCGCGUAGGCGGACAGUUUAGUCAGAGGUGAAAGCCCAGGGCUCAACCUUGGAACUGCCUUUGAUACUGACUGUCUUGAGUUCGGGAGAGGUGAGUGGAAUGCCGAGUGUAGAGGUGAAAUUCGUAGAUAUUCGGCGGAACACCAGUGGCGAAGGCGACUCACUGGCCCGAUACUGACGCUGAGGCGCGAAAGCGUGGGGAGCAAGCAGG
This 253-nucleotide ribosomal RNA is filed under the name uncultured bacterium. RNAcentral describes it as "partial 16S ribosomal RNA". It matches the Rfam family "Bacterial small subunit ribosomal RNA", at positions 524 to 776 of the family's 1533-position model. The record is from RNAcentral.